GGGUGGCCGCGGCCGUCAAAACUUUCACUAGGUUGACCUCGGAUCA
RNAcentral lists this ribosomal RNA (46 nucleotides) under Stigmina palmivora. RNAcentral describes it as "partial 28S ribosomal RNA". Lineage: Eukaryota; Fungi; Ascomycota; Dothideomycetes; Dothideales. The record is from RNAcentral.